AGUGAACGCUGGCGGUAGGCCUAACACAUGCAAGUCGAACGGCAGCACAGUAAGAGCUUGCUCUUACGGGUGGCGAGUGGCGGACGGGUGAGGAAUACAUCGGAAUCUACUUUUUCGUGGGGGAUAACGUAGGGAAACUUACGCUAAUACCGCAUACUACCUACGGGUGAAAGCAGGGGAUCUUCGGACCUUGCGCGAUUGAAUGAGCCGAUGUCGGAUUAGCUAGUUGGCGGGGUAAAGGCCCACCAAGGCGACGAUCCGUAGCUGGUCUGAGAGGAUGAUCAGCCACACUGGAACUGAGACACGGUCCAGACUCCUACGGGAGGCAGCAGUGGGGAAUAUUGGACAAUGGGCGCAAGCCUGAUCCAGCCAUACCCCGUGGGUGAAGAAGGCCUUCGGGUUGUAAAGCCCUUUUGUUGGGAAAGAAAAGCAGCAGGUUAAUACCCCGCUGUUCUGACGGUACCCAAAGAAUAAGCACCGGCUAACUUCGUG
This 492-nucleotide ribosomal RNA is filed under the name uncultured bacterium. Its description in RNAcentral is "partial 16S ribosomal RNA". It matches the Rfam family "Bacterial small subunit ribosomal RNA", at positions 29 to 507 of the family's 1533-position model. The record is from RNAcentral.